Molecule: ribosomal RNA, 204 nt
Filed under: uncultured bacterium
Lineage: Bacteria
Description: partial 16S ribosomal RNA
Rfam family: Bacterial small subunit ribosomal RNA
Source: RNAcentral
UGCGUAGGUGGCCGGGUAAGUCCGAUGUGAAAUCUCCGAGCCUAACUCGGAAACUGCAUCGGAUACUAUUCGGCUGGAGGGUUGGAGGGGGGACUGGAAUACUUGGUGUAGCAGUGAAAUGCGUAGAUAUCAAGUGGAACACCAGUGGCGAAGGCGAGUCCCUGGACAACUCCUGACACUGAGGCACGAAAGUGGAGGGCAACA